AUACAUGCAAGUCGAGCGGACAGAUGGGAGCUUGCUCCCUGAAGUCAGCGGCGGACGGGUGAGUAACACGUGGGCAACCUGCCUGUAAGACUGGGAUAACUCCGGGAAACCGGGGCUAAUACCGGAUAAUUCUUUCCCUCACAUGAGGGAAAGCUGAAAGAUGGUUUCGGCUAUCACUUACAGAUGGGCCCGCGGCGCAUUAGCUAGUUGGUGAGGUAACGGCUCACCAAGGCAACGAUGCGUAGCCGACCUGAGAGGGUGAUCGGCCACACUGGGACUGAGACACGGCCCAGACUCCUACGGGAGGCAGCAGUAGGGAAUCUUCCGCAAUGGACGAAAGUCUGACGGAGCAACGCCGCGUGAGUGAUGAAGGUUUUCGGAUCGUAAAACUCUGUUGUUAGGGAAGAACAAGUACCGGAGUAACUGCCGGUACCUUGACGGUACCUAACCAGAAAGCCACGGCUAACUACGUGCCAGCAGCCGCGGUAAUACGUAGGUGGCAAGCGUUGUCCGGAAUUAUUGGGCGUAAAGCGCGCGCAGGCGGUUCCUUAAGUCUGAUGUGAAAGCCCCCGGCUCAACCGGGGAGGGUCAUUGGAAACUGGGGAACUUGAGUGCAGAAGAGAAGAGUGGAAUUCCACGUGUAGCGG
RNAcentral lists this ribosomal RNA (647 nucleotides) under Cytobacillus oceanisediminis. Its description in RNAcentral is "bacterial SSU rRNA". It matches the Rfam family "Bacterial small subunit ribosomal RNA", at positions 51 to 681 of the family's 1533-position model. The record is from RNAcentral. Lineage: Bacteria; Bacillati; Bacillota; Bacilli; Caryophanales; Bacillaceae.